This 463-nucleotide ribosomal RNA is filed under the name Vreelandella stevensii. RNAcentral describes it as "partial 16S ribosomal RNA". It matches the Rfam family "Bacterial small subunit ribosomal RNA", at positions 338 to 795 of the family's 1533-position model. Lineage: Bacteria; Pseudomonadati; Pseudomonadota; Gammaproteobacteria; Oceanospirillales; Halomonadaceae. The record is from RNAcentral.
CCUACGGGAGGCAGCAGUGGGGAAUAUUGGCCAAUGGGCGAAAGCCUGAUCCAGCCAUGCCGCGUGUGUGAAGGCCUUCGGGUUGUAAAGCACUUUCAGUGGGGAAGAAAGCCUUGGGGCUAAUACCCUCGAGGAAGGACAUCACCCACAGAAGAAGCACCGGCUAACUCCGUGCCAGCAGCCGCGGUAAUACGGAGGGUGCGAGCGUUAAUCGGAAUUACUGGGCGUAAAGCGCGCGUAGGCGGUCUGAUAAGCCGGUUGUGAAAGCCCCGGGCUCAACCUGGGAACGGCAUCCGGAACUGUCAGGCUAGAGUGCAGGAGAGGAAGGUAGAAUUACCGGUGUAGCGGUGAAAUGCGUAGAGAUCGGGAGGAAUACCAGUGGCGAAGGCGGCCUUCUGGACUGACACUGACGCUGAGGUGCGAAAGCGUGGGUAGCAAACAGGAUUAGAUACCCGGGUUAGUC